AUUGAACGCUGGCGGCAUGCCUUACACAUGCAAGUCGAACGGCAGCACGGGUGCUUGCACCUGGUGGCGAGUGGCGAACGGGUGAGUAAUACAUCGGAACAUGUCCUGUAGUGGGGGAUAGCCCGGCGAAAGCCGGAUUAAUACCGCAUACGAUCUACGGAUGAAAGCGGGGGACCUUCGGGCCUCGCGCUAUAGGGUUGGCCGAUGGCUGAUUAGCUAGUUGGUGGGGUAAAGGCCUACCAAGGCGACGAUCAGUAGCUGGUCUGAGAGGACGACCAGCCACACUGGGACUGAGACACGGCCCAGACUCCUACGGGAGGCAGCAGUGGGGAAUUUUGGACAAUGGGCGAAAGCCUGAUCCAGCAAUGCCGCGUGUGUGAAGAAGGCCUUCGGGUUGUAAAGCACUUUUGUCCGGAAAGAAAUCCUUGGCCCUAAUACGGUCGGGGGAUGACGGUACCGGAAGAAUAAGCACCGGCUAAUUACGUG
Molecule: ribosomal RNA, 486 nt
Filed under: uncultured bacterium
Lineage: Bacteria
Description: partial 16S ribosomal RNA
Rfam family: Bacterial small subunit ribosomal RNA
Source: RNAcentral